Molecule: ribosomal RNA, 2877 nt
Filed under: Acinetobacter baumannii AB4857
Lineage: Bacteria; Pseudomonadati; Pseudomonadota; Gammaproteobacteria; Moraxellales; Moraxellaceae
Description: bacterial LSU rRNA
Rfam family: Bacterial large subunit ribosomal RNA
Source: RNAcentral
AGUGCAUGUGGUGGAUGCCUUGGCAGUCAGAGGCGAUGAAAGACGUGAUAGCCUGCGAAAAGCUCCGGGGAGGCGGCAAAUAUCCUUUGAUCCGGAGAUGUCUGAAUGGGGGAACCCACCUACUUUAAGGUAGGUAUUGCAACAUGAAUACAUAGUGUUGCAAGGCGAACGAGGGGAAGUGAAACAUCUCAGUACCCUUAGGAAAAGAAAUCAAUUGAGAUUCCCUCAGUAGCGGCGAGCGAACGGGGAUCAGCCCAUUAAGUUAUGUGUGUUUUAGUGGAACGCUCUGGGAAGUGCGAACGUAGAGGGUGAUAUUCCCGUACACGAAAGGGCACACAUAAUGAUGACGAGUAGGGCGAGGCACGUGAAACCUUGUCUGAAUAUGGGGGGACCAUCCUCCAAGGCUAAAUACUCCUGACUGACCGAUAGUGAACCAGUACCGUGAGGGAAAGGCGAAAAGAACCCCUGUGAGGGGAGUGAAAUAGAUCCUGAAACCGCAUGCAUACAAGCAGUGGGAGCACCUUCGUGGUGUGACUGCGUACCUUUUGUAUAAUGGGUCAGCGACUUAUAUUCAGUAGCGAGGUUAACCGUAUAGGGGAGCCGUAGAGAAUCGAGUCUUAAUAGGGCGUUUAGUUGCUGGGUAUAGACCCGAACCAGGCGAUCUAUCCAUGAGCAGGUUGAAAGGUUGGGUAACACAACUGGAGGACCGAACCCACUGUCGUUGAAAAGCCAGGGGAUGACUUGUGGAUAGGGGUGAAAGGCUAAUCAAGCCUGGUGAUAGCUGGUUCUCCCCGAAAGCUAUUUAGGUAGCGCCUCGGACGAAUACCAUAGGGGGUAGAGCACUGUUUCGGCUAGGGGGUCAUCCCGACUUACCAAACCGAUGCAAACUCCGAAUACCUAUGAGUACUAUCCGGGAGACAGACUGCGGGUGCUAACGUCCGUAGUCAAGAGGAAAACAAUCCAGACCGCCAGCUAAGGCCCCAAAAUCAUAGUUAAGUGGGAAACGAUGUGGGAAGGCAUAGACAGCUAGGAGGUUGGCUUAGAAGCAGCCACCCUUUAAAGAAAGCGUAAUAGCUCACUAGUCGAGUCGGCCUGCGCGGAAGAUGUAACGGGGCUAAAACUAUGUGCCGAAGCUGCGGAUGUAUACUUUGUAUACGUGGUAGGGGAGCGUUCUGUAAGCCGAUGAAGGUGUGUUGAGAAGCAUGCUGGAGGUAUCAGAAGUGCGAAUGCUGACGUGAGUAACGACAAAAACGGGUGAAAAACCCGUUCGCCGAAAGACCAAGGGUUCCAGUCCAACGUUAAUCGGGGCUGGGUGAGUCGACCCCUAAGGCGAGGCCGAAAGGCGUAGUCGAUGGGAAAAUGGUUAAUAUUCCAUUACUUCUGUGUAAUGCGAUGAGAGGACGGAGAAGGCUAAAUCAGCCUGGCGUUGGUUGUCCAGGUGAAAGGAUGUAGGCAUGUAUCUUAGGCAAAUCCGGGGUACUCUAUGCUGAGAUCUGAUAGCAAGCUGUACUUGUACAGCGAAGUGGUUGAUGCCAUGCUUCCAGGAAAAGUCUCUAAGCUUCAGUUACACAGGAAUCGUACCCGAAACCGACACAGGUGGUCAGGUCGAGUAGACCAAGGCGCUUGAGAGAACUCUGCUGAAGGAACUAGGCAAAAUGGUACCGUAACUUCGGGAGAAGGUACGCUGUUGUUGGUGAUGGAACUCGCUUCCUGAGCUGACGACAGCCGCAGAAACCAGGCCGCUGCAACUGUUUAUUAAAAACAUAGCACUCUGCAAACACGAAAGUGGACGUAUAGGGUGUGAUGCCUGCCCGGUGCUGGAAGGUUAAUUGAUGGGGUUAGCGUAAGCGAAGCUCUUGAUCGAAGCCCCAGUAAACGGCGGCCGUAACUAUAACGGUCCUAAGGUAGCGAAAUUCCUUGUCGGGUAAGUUCCGACCUGCACGAAUGGCAUAAUGAUGGCGGCGCUGUCUCCAGCAGAGGCUCAGUGAAAUCGAAAUCGCUGUGAAGAUGCAGUGUACCCGCGGCUAGACGGAAAGACCCCGUGAACCUUUACUGCAGCUUGACACUGAACUUUGACCUUACUUGUGUAGGAUAGGUGGGAGGCUUUGAAGCUGGAACGCUAGUUCCAGUGGAGCCGUCCUUGAAAUACCACCCUGGUAAUGUUGAGGUUCUAACUCUGUCCCGUGAUCCGGGACGAGGACCGUGUCUGGUGGGUAGUUUGACUGGGGCGGUCUCCUCCUAAAGAGUAACGGAGGAGUACGAAGGUGCGCUCAGCGUGGUCGGAAAUCACGCGUAGAGUAUAAAGGCAAAAGCGCGCUUAACUGCGAGACCCACAAGUCGAGCAGGUACGAAAGUAGGUCUUAGUGAUCCGGUGGUUCUGUAUGGAAGGGCCAUCGCUCAACGGAUAAAAGGUACUCUGGGGAUAACAGGCUGAUACCGCCCAAGAGUUCAUAUCGACGGCGGUGUUUGGCACCUCGAUGUCGGCUCAUCUCAUCCUGGGGCUGAAGCAGGUCCCAAGGGUAUGGCUGUUCGCCAUUUAAAGAGGUACGCGAGCUGGGUUUAGAACGUCGUGAGACAGUUCGGUCCCUAUCUACCGUGGGCGCUGGAAAUUUGAGAGGAUCUGCUCCUAGUACGAGAGGACCAGAGUGGACGAACCUCUGGUGUACCGGUUGUGACGCCAGUCGCAUCGCCGGGUAGCUAUGUUCGGAAGGGAUAACCGCUGAAAGCAUCUAAGCGGGAAGCCUACCUCAAGAUAAGAUUUCCCUAGGACUUUAUGUCCUCUAAAGAGCCGUUCGAGACUAGGACGUUGAUAGGUUGGAUGUGGAAGCAUAGUGAUAUGUGAAGCUGACCAAUACUAAUUGCUCGUGAGGCUUGACU